RNAcentral lists this ribosomal RNA (328 nucleotides) under uncultured bacterium. Its description in RNAcentral is "partial 16S ribosomal RNA". The record is from RNAcentral.
CGAGCUCGGAUCCACUAGUAACGGCCGCCAGUGUGCUGGAAUUCGGCUUUAAUCCGACCUAGGCUCAUCCAUUAGCGCGAGGUCUUGCGAUCCCCCGCUUUCCUCCGUAGAGCGUAUGCGGUAUUAGCCCGGCUUUCGCCGGGUUAUCCCCCACAAAUGGGCAGAUUCCUACGUAUUACUCACCCGUCCGCCGCUGAAUUCAGGAGCAAGCUCCUGUCAUCCGCUCGACUUGCAUGUGUUAGGCCUGCCGCCAGCGUUCAAUCUGAGCCAGGAUCAAACUCUAAGCCGAAUUCUGCAGAUAUCCAUCACACUGGCGGCCGCUCGAGCA